CAUUAAGUCGGCACUUCACUUUCGAUUUUAACGCCUCUAAGUGACGCACUCUUGCAUCAAGUGCGUUUUAGUUCGUCCUACAUUUUCGCCAAUAUCAGAAGCAUUACUUUAUUCCAGUCUCAACACUUUCGACAGACUUACGUCAGUAGCCUUUGAGCUUACCUCAAUACCUUUCUUACAAAAGAAUACUAUUAACGAAACGCUGAUAUUUGUUCUUGCCAAUUAUCGAUUAGUCCUAAAGAUCGAUUAACUCUAAAGUUAUCGAUUCUGUCAAACAUGUCGCACAUAUUAGUCGUACAUACAUAAAUAUUAUAGGUUAGUUUUCAUAUAUCUUAUAUAAAUAAAAUUUAUAUAUCAAAGAUGUAAAUUGAUGAUAGAAAGUAUAAGUAAAAUUAAUCAAGAAUAUAAUUUAUAUAAUAUUCUGUUAAGAUCUCAUAAUAUCUUUUUGAAAUGUUUAUGAAUUUUAAUUGUUCUAUGGAUAAUGAACGAUAUAAAAGAGAUUAACGUUACAACCAUAAUUUAUAUCGCAAAAGCUAUAAUACCAAAUGUUUCGCUAUAAUACCAAUUAUCGAAAUGGAGAGAAGUUAAACGAGAAGGCGGCAGUGUUUCGUCUUGUUGCUUUCUUUUCUUUCCCAGCUUGCGCAUUGCCUGUUCAUACAACGAAAGGAUAGGCGGUGUAAAAAUGAGUAUAGAAAAGGGCGCGUGGGUGGUAGAUGGGUCAGAGACAGAAUGAGAUGGCUGAUAGAUGGAAAAAGAAUCCUAAGUGUAUGUGAGUGUGCGCGCGCGUUUGCCACAGCAUGUAUAUGAAAGAACAGCUGGAAAAAAGGUGUAUACAAUACAAACAGUACUGUCACAUCGAGCUCCGCCAGAGGAAUGAAAAACAGUCACCAAGUCUUCGUAAGACUGGCGUUUUCGGUGACAAGACCAGUUGGAAGAAUAAGAAAUGAGUCUUAUAACAGUAGCCGAAAACUACUCUAUGAUUUCCUUUGAAGACAGAUGUCGUUGCGUUCUUCAUAACGGCUUGCCAAGAUAAAAACGGAAUUGAAAGAAACACGGUACAGAAUAAAGAACUGCAAAGUUAUUUGAAGAACAUAACUCUGUUACUCUGAAAGAAAGCUUCUUGUAUUAUACAUUCGAAUUAUGUAUGUACGUUUCGCGUGCAAUAGGUAAGUUAUCUUGUCAGUCGUAACAUACGCAUAAUUGGUACUUGCAAGGAAUUCAAAGAUAUAUGUAUAAGCCACAAUAAAUCCGUCACAAAAGAAAAUAACUAGUUGGUUUUUCCGCAUGCUACAAAGACUUUAAGUUAGUCCGCUUAUUGCGAUUUAGAUUGGAUCAAAAAAGGAAAGUAUUACUUUUAAAGUUUGGUUUUCAUUCACAUCAUUAUGAUAUAAGUAGAAACAUCGUUAAAAAAACAUAAUUAAGUUAUUGGGAUAAAGCAAUCGAAGAAUGCUGUAACGUUUGUACGCCGAUAAUCCAUAUAAACAAGGCAUGACAAAGGAAUCCCUCUGCUAUCUAAUUACCAUACGAAUAUUGAGCGAACAUCGUCUGUACUGUGAAAAUACGAUAUCGCGAACAUUUCAAACACUCGAGAUAAGACCGUUCUAUCCCAUUAACCAGUUCCUUUUUUUAUCUUUGAUGAGAGACGUAGCUCGGCAACGAAUCGUUCCCCGUAGCAAGAAUGAUUAUCCGAACUGUUCGCGUGUUUUACAGGAUUUUCAGGGGUUCGUGUUCACCGGAGUGGUGCAAGUUAGAUAUAUAGAACCUUUUACGAUGCCGAUAGUAGAUGAUUCCAGCGUGGUAUAGCCUAAGAAUGGCAGUACUCUUUAGGGAAGCAACUUAAAGGCGACUCGUGCCGACAGUGCUUCCAGCAAAUACGGAGUUUUAUAUUUAAAACAUUCUAGAGACACGCUCCAUUGUUCUAUCUUCGCAUCAACGUAAUAUCGUCUUACGUUGCUCCUCUCUUUAAUACAUCGUUGCAUGCGACUUCGUUGUAUAACUCAACAAAAGAUAUACCUAUCGAUUUUCUUGACAACAACUUUCAACUGUAAUACAUAGACCGUAUUUGCUCCAAUUACCGGCGAAAUUAUGAAGGCCUUCGACAUUCGUUGGUUCGUUAUUAGUCACGCGAUAAGAAACCAAUAAUUUUGCAUGCGUACGCAAAAACGUUGCUCCGUUAUUUCUUUGGUCGCAUGAUUUAUGAGAAAAUUAAUUAGAUGAUAUUCGCGGUGAACGACAAUUCGAGCGUAGAGAAAAAAAAAAAGUAAGAGACGGCAAGCUUUCGCUUUAAGUGCUUUAAAUAAACGAUUAAUCAUCGGUGUAAUUAUAACGAAGAUGAGAGGAGGGAAGUGGGAUCGCGCGGCUUCCACGAUUUCAUUCACCAUUAUCGAUACAUAUUAUAUACCUAUAUACAUAUAUUAUAUGUAUAUAGUAUCAAACUAUCGAUGAAACGAAAUUGUACGAGGCGAGUUAUUAUUUUAAGAAACGCAUUGCUUCCUCUCUGUCUACACGACGCGACGCCAGAGGAAGUUCCGCGAAUAUAUCAGCUAAAGGUUUCCAAUUGCAUUUAUGGCUUUUCUCUCUGUCUCGUUUCGUCCCUUCCUGCCUCUCUAUCCCUCUCUCUUCCUCUUUCGCGCGCUUCUUGCGUAUACCGACAAAUAGCAUUUCGUUUCUGUGCACAAGUCGUUUCUUUGCAACCUCAUUGCACGUUGCGUCCGUGUGGGUGACCACCGGUGCUACGUAAAUAUGGUUAUACGACGUUGUACGUUGAUAAUGAACGCGCGCGUGUUCGUGCAAAAGUGUAGUGGGCUGCGGCUUGUGGUAAGGGCUCGGAAGAGGGAUCGAGAACCGAAGCACAAUGCACCAAAGGUGGGAACAAGAGAGGGAGAGAGAGGAAAAGAGAUGGAACUGGAGGGAAAGACAGUGUACAUGUACGUUGCGUUUACGGUACGCAUACACCACGCGUAACACGUUCAUGGAUGCUUGCAGUGCGAUGGUACUGAUAGUCGAAUAGAAAUAAGUAAAUGAACAUAUACGUAUAUAUACGUCGUGUCGUUUUUUGUAUGUGAUUUACUUAACGAGAAAUGGACAGACUUGCAUGCCAAAGUAUACAAAUUUAUCACUUUUGAAGUGAACGAUAAAUGUUGCACAUUUUUACAUGUUUUGUCACGAUGAUUUAUACAAUGAUAAUUUAAAGAUAUAUUUACGCUUGACUUCUUGAUUUGAACAGUAUUUAAGAUUUUACAUCGAUUGUUUUAUGAUAGUUGAUAAAAUAUUUAAAAAUAAAAAGAAAAAAUACAAAAUACAAAAUAUCAAUUUUGCAGAUUAAAUCUGAUUUGAUGUAGUACAAAGGAUUGAUGUAUGAUGAGUGGAGUAAAAAAAUUUUUAAAGACAAAUUAAGCAAAUGUUUGAACAGAUUUAAAUUGGUCAGAUUUUAAUGUACAAGUUGUCAAAAUAAAAAAAUUGUUCAAUGACUUUAAUUGAAUAAGUUCGAAUCCCGAAAUUGUGGCGAGCAAAAUCAUAUUAAAGAAAAUCGAAGUAACGAUGAAGUUUUCUUUCCUUUAAUCCGCUCUUUCAAAGCUCUUUGUCGGAGUUCCCUUCAAAAAAUGUCAGUCUACCGUUGCAAUGUGGAUUGAAUGAAAUCCUGUGGAAUGAAAUCCUUCGGUACAACGGAGGGUGCGCCCUGUGCUUCACAAACUAGUUUUAUGAUAUCCCACCGACACCUACCAUGCUAAUCCACCCACAAAGUUUUCUUCAGCUGUUUACUCGCCUCCUGGCUACACCUCUCCGUCACACCGCUAUAUAACUGCUAUCGUGGAUAUAACAUAAUUUUCCUCCUCGAACUACGCGAAUCGAUACAAUAAAUGCAGCAGAUUCCAAAGGGCGAAGUAACAGCAAUUUCAGUCGGCGUUUAAUCACGCGAUAUUUCAUUUAUCCGCUAUAUAUUACCGAGGCUAAAUGUUUUACGGUUAUUGCAUUCUUGAAAUUGAUGUGUCAAUAAACAGAAUAACGCUCGUACAAAGGUGUGCUAAAUUCAUUUCACGAUAUCGUCAUUGACGUGUUAUCAGUACGACU
Molecule: long non-coding RNA, 4071 nt
Organism: Apis laboriosa (Himalayan honeybee)
Lineage: Eukaryota; Metazoa; Arthropoda; Insecta; Hymenoptera; Apidae
Exons: 3
Source: RefSeq, a predicted model, not a curated record